This is a long non-coding RNA of Telopea speciosissima, 161 nucleotides long. RefSeq lists it as uncharacterized. The record is from RefSeq and is a predicted model, not a curated record. The transcript has 2 exons. NCBI's taxonomy places the organism in Eukaryota, Viridiplantae, Streptophyta, Magnoliopsida, Proteales, Proteaceae.
CAUAGUUGUCAAGGCGGCAAAGCGAUCCAAGGCAUGCAGUAUAUGACUAUGUAAUAUAGCAAUGAUAAUUUAUAUAAUUAUGCUUAUAUGCAACAUAGAAGUUAUAUCAAUGCAACUGAUAUAAUUAAGCUAGUAAUGACCUACAAUGAGAAAACCAACAU